RNAcentral lists this long non-coding RNA (2186 nucleotides) under Gallus gallus (chicken). The record is from RNAcentral. Lineage: Eukaryota; Metazoa; Chordata; Aves; Galliformes; Phasianidae.
UGCCUUUCUUCUUUUGGACCAUCAGCCUGAUUUUUGGGAGUCAAGGUGGAUGUCUCACGACCAUUCUGAAGUGAGGGAGGACUAGAAGAUGAGGGAGGAGGUAGGCUGGAUUUGGCAUCUGUUUCUUCUAGUAAUAAACAUAUCAAAUCACCAGGAACAAUCCCAUAUGAAGCUAAAGUCUUCUCAUCUUCUGUAAGAGCGUCUUUCCCAUUCAGUGUUAUUGAAAACUCUGUAUCAGAACUGUAGCCCCAGGCGUGAAGCAGGGCCCGGCGGAGCUGCGCGCGCAGCUCCCCCAGCGUUGGCUCCGCCCCCUCCAGCUCCAGCGGCGCCGUUCGCUUCUGCAGCCGCACGCGAAGCUUCAUGGCGGCGGGGCCGGCGGGGCCGCGCUUCCGCCCGCUUUACGCUCCGAGCGGGCCCCCGCCGGCUAACGAUGGUGGCGGGCAGCGGGCGCAAGGGCUGCCGGGGCGUGGCGGUGUUUGGGUUGGCGCGGCGCCGCCUCAGCCCCCGGCCGGCCCCGCCUCCGGCCGGCCCCGCCCCCGCUGCCCGUGAAGCGGUGGCUCGGUGUGUCAAGAUGGCCGCAGUCGGUGGUGCGGUGCGCGGGCUGUUGCUGCGCAUGCGCUUGGGUGGUGUGCUGUGGUGGGGUUGUAUGAGAUGGGAAGGCGGUUAUCAACACUAUGCCAACUAAAGUACGUCCAUCAAAGGCAAGGAAAGAGAAUGCAAUGAGAAGGCACCGUGAGCGCUGUGACUGUCAGGAACUGCUUUCCUUAGUCUUGGAGAAGGUUGGCUCUGACGUGUGUCGUACUCCUUCAGCAUUGCGACCAUUUUUCCCAUGGCUGUGGACACCCUUCUCUGUUUUGCUUUUUAGCGUUGAACCUCUCAAAGCCACCUCCCGUCUUUCCACUGUGCUCUUGUGAGAAAUAAACGUUCAUUCCUUUAUUUUCAGAAGAAGCACCAUGUUAGUCACUUGCACAAGCUAAAGAAGCGUGAAGUGAGAUACUUCUGUUCCUCAGGACCUGGCUGCGCUAAUUGAUCCUUGUUAGUUAACCAGCUAAUUAAGCGUGUCUGCUGCCAUUCUGCCAAUUUUUCCUUUGAAUUUUGUAAGUCAUGCCUCAAGUUCAGACAUGUUCUGCCCACAGCCCUAAAUACUAAACAGGGAAAACUGAGAAACAAAAGGCUGAAAUGGUUUACAGAGCUUCCAUGUUGGCCUGUGCCCAUUUCAGAUGGCCCAAGUCCACUGUGUUAUUUUUGUAAUAAAAGGGAAGUUAUUUGAUGAAUAAUAUUUUUCUGUGCUAUUUCGAUUUUCUUUUGUCUGUAGGGGAGGGAUUUCCAGUAAUCAAGUAUGAAACUGACCUCAAGCUGGUCAAGGCACUCCACCAAAAUAGUAUUGAAAUCAUAGAACCGUAAAAUGGUUUAGGUCAGAAGAUACCUGGAAGAUCAUUGAUUUCCCACCCUGUGCUGUGGGCAGGGCUGCCAGCCCCUAGCUGAGGCUGCCCAUGGCCCCAUCCAACCUGACCUUGAGUGCCUCCAGGGAUGAGGCACCCACAGCUAUCUGGGCAACUGUGCCAGUGCCUCACCACCCUCUGAGUAAAGAAUUUCUUACUAACAUCUAACCUAAAUCUUCCUUCUUUUACUUUAAAGCCAUUUCCCCUUGUCCUGUAAGAAGUCACUCCUCUUCCUGCUUAUAACCUCCCUUCAUAUAUGGGAAGGCUGCAAUGAGUUCACCUUGGAGCUUUCUGCAAGCUGAACAAGCCUAACUACUUCAGUCUUUCUUUGCAGCAAAGGUACUCCAGCCCUCUAAUCUUCUUUGUGGCUCUCCUUGGGACCCACUCCAACAGCUCCAUAUUCUUCUUGUGCUGGGGGCCCCAGGUCUGGAUGCAGUAUUUCCGUGCUUACAAGUUUGAAUAAAUGGUUGUACACAAAAGAGUUUUGACUUUCAGCACGGUUCACUUUAUCAGAAUUGGUAACUUUUAUUAGUCUAAUCCUUUAAAAAAAGACUAUGUGAUAUAGUGAUAUAGUAUAAUGUGAUUUUCAUGGUUUUCAUGAAAUCGAUGUAGUUUCUCAAUUCAAGUACCCCCCACACAUGUGGUCAGUGAAAAAAAAAAUAGAAACAAUUUCACCAAAGAAGUAAAACUAUUGACAGCCCUCAUGGUAAAAUUUAUCUUGAGAAACUUGAAACUUAAUAUUGC